Molecule: non-coding RNA, 73 nt
Organism: Stegodyphus mimosarum
Lineage: Eukaryota; Metazoa; Arthropoda; Arachnida; Araneae; Eresidae
Source: Rfam
GCCUUCGUGGUGUAGAGGUCAACACGCUCGGCGCGUAUGCGAGAGGUCCGUGGUUCGAGUCCUGGCGAGGGCA